GCGCCUGUAGCUCAGUUGGAUAGAGCAUCUGCCUUCUAAGCAGGUGGUCGCAGGUUCGAAUCCUGCUAGGCGCGCCA
RNAcentral lists this transfer RNA (77 nucleotides) under Moraxella bovoculi. RNAcentral's name for it is "tRNA-Arg". It matches the Rfam family "tRNA". Rfam says of the family: Transfer RNA (tRNA) molecules are approximately 80 nucleotides in length. Their secondary structure includes four short double-helical elements and three loops (D, anti-codon, and T loops). The record is from RNAcentral. RNAcentral also lists the same sequence under 4 other names. Lineage: Bacteria; Pseudomonadati; Pseudomonadota; Gammaproteobacteria; Moraxellales; Moraxellaceae.